CCUGGCGGCUUAGAGGGUAAAGCGUCUGCCUGCAAUGCGGGAGACCUGGGUUUGAUCCCUGGGUCAGGA
This 69-nucleotide transfer RNA is filed under the name Ovis aries (sheep). It matches the Rfam family "tRNA". Rfam says of the family: Transfer RNA (tRNA) molecules are approximately 80 nucleotides in length. Their secondary structure includes four short double-helical elements and three loops (D, anti-codon, and T loops). Further hydrogen bonds mediate the characteristic L-shaped molecular structure. tRNAs have two regions of fundamental functional importance: the anti-codon, which is responsible for specific mRNA codon recognition, and the 3' end, to which the tRNAs corresponding amino acid is attached (by aminoacyl-tRNA synthetases). tRNAs cope with the degeneracy of the genetic code in two manners: having more than one tRNA (with a specific anti-codon) for a particular amino acid; and 'wobble' base-pairing, i.e. permitting non-standard base-pairing at the 3rd anti-codon position. The record is from Rfam by way of RNAcentral. Lineage: Eukaryota; Metazoa; Chordata; Mammalia; Artiodactyla; Bovidae.